GAUGAACGCUGGCGGCGUGCCUAAUACAUGCAAGUCGAGCGAACAGACGAGGAGCUUGCUCCUCUGACGUUAGCGGCGGACGGGUGAGUAACACGUGGAUAACCUACCUAUAAGACUGGGAUAACUUCGGGAAACCGGAGCUAAUACCGGAUAAUAUAUUGAACCGCAUGGUUCAAUAGUGAAAGACGGUUUUGCUGUCACUUAUAGAUGGAUCCGCGCCGCAUUAGCUAGUUGGUAAGGUAACGUCUUACCAAGGCAACGAUGCGUAGCCGACCUGAGAGGGUGAUCGGCCACACUGGAACUGAGACACGGUCCAGACUCCUACGGGAGGCAGCAGUAGGGAAUCUUCCGCAAAGGGCGAAAGCCUGACGGAGCAACGCCGCGUGAGUGAUGAAGGUCUUCGGAUCGUAAAACUCUGUUAUUAGGGAAGAACAAAUGUGUAAGUAACUAUGCACGUCUUGACGGUACCUAAUCAGAAAGCCACGGCUAACUACGUG
RNAcentral lists this ribosomal RNA (497 nucleotides) under uncultured bacterium. Its description in RNAcentral is "partial 16S ribosomal RNA". It matches the Rfam family "Bacterial small subunit ribosomal RNA", at positions 28 to 507 of the family's 1533-position model. The record is from RNAcentral.